RNAcentral lists this ribosomal RNA (465 nucleotides) under uncultured bacterium. RNAcentral describes it as "partial 16S ribosomal RNA". It matches the Rfam family "Bacterial small subunit ribosomal RNA", at positions 28 to 507 of the family's 1533-position model. The record is from RNAcentral.
GACGAACGCUGGCGGCGUGCUUAACACAUGCAAGUCGAACGGAAAGGCCCCUUUGGGGGUACUCGAGUGGCGAACGGGUGAGUAACACGUGAGUAACCUGCCCUUGACUUCGGGAUAACUUCAGGCAACUGGGGCUAAUACCGGAUAGGAAUCCUUGCUGCAUGGUGGGGGUUGGAAAGCUUCGGCGGUUUUGGAUGGACUCGCGGCUUAUCAGCUUGUUGGUGGGGUAGUGGCUUACCAAGGCUUUGACGGGUAGCCGGCCUGAGAGGGCGACCGGCCACAUUGGGACUGAGAUACGGCCCAGACUCCUACGGGAGGCAGCAGUGGGGAAGAUUGCACAAUGGGCGGAAGCCUGAUGCAGCAACGCCGCGUGCGGGAUGACGGCCUUCGGGUUGUAAACCGCUUUCAGCAGGGGCGAAGCUUGUGGUGACGGUACCUGCAGAAGAAGCACCGGCUAACUACGUG